CCUACGGGAGGCAGCAGUGAGGAAUAUUGGUCAAUGGACGAGAGUCUGAACCAGCCAAGUAGCGUGAAGGAUGACUGCCCUAUGGGUUGUAAACCUCUUUUAUCUGGGAAUAAAACAGGGUAUGCAUACCCUCAUGUAUGUAUCAUAUGAAAAAGCAUCGGCUAACUCCGUGCCAGCAGCCGCGGUAAUACGGAGGAUCCGAGCGUUAUCCGGAUUUAUUGGGUUUAAAGGGUGCGUAGGUGGAUUGUUAAGUCAGUUGUGAAAUUUUGCGGCUCAACCGUAACAUUGCCGUUGAAACUGGCAGACUUGAGUACGGGAGAGGUGCGCGGAAUUCGCGGUGUAGCGGUGAAAUGCAUAGAGAUCACGAAGAACUCCGAUUGCGAAGGCAGCUCACUGGACUGAGACUGACACUGAGGCUCGAAAGUGUGGGGAUCAAACAGGAUUAGAUACCCUUGUAGUC
This 460-nucleotide ribosomal RNA is filed under the name uncultured bacterium. RNAcentral describes it as "partial 16S ribosomal RNA". It matches the Rfam family "Bacterial small subunit ribosomal RNA", at positions 338 to 795 of the family's 1533-position model. The record is from RNAcentral.